AUUGAACGCUGGCGGCAGGCCUAACACAUGCAAGUCGUACGGUAGCACAGAGAGCUUGCUCUCGGGUGACGAGUGGCGGACGGGUGAGUAAUGUCUGGGAAACUGCCCGAUGGAGGGGGAUAACUACUGGAAACGGUAGCUAAUACCGCAUAACAUCGCAAGACCAAAGAGGGGGACCUUCGGGCCUCUCACUAUCGGAUGAACCCAGAUGGGAUUAGCUAGUAGGCGGGGUAACGGCCCACCUAGGCGACGAUCCCUAGCUGGUCUGAGAGGAUGACCAGCCACACUGGAACUGAGACACGGUCCAGACUCCUACGGGAGGCAGCAGUGGGGAAUAUUGCACAAUGGGCGCAAGCCUGAUGCAGCCAUGCCGCGUGUAUGAAGAAGGCCUUCGGGUUGUAAAGUACUUUCAGCGGGGAGGAAGGCGAUGUGGUUAAUAACCGCGUCGAUUGACGUUACCCGCAGAAGAAGCACCGGCUAACUCCGUGCCAGCCGCCGCCGUAA
Molecule: ribosomal RNA, 504 nt
Filed under: uncultured bacterium
Lineage: Bacteria
Description: partial 16S ribosomal RNA
Rfam family: Bacterial small subunit ribosomal RNA
Source: RNAcentral